AUGCACCAGCGCUGGUCGAGCAGGUCCGUGCCGACCAGGCAGGUCGCCAUCUUCAUGAGCCACGAGUGCUUCCUGUUCCGGGCCAAGUACCCUACGAGGUUGUACUGCGCAACUUGAUCGGGCCACCGGUUCGCGUUGAGCCGCCAUCGCUUGAUCUUGUCGACGGAUUCCAUCACGGCAGGGAUGGCACACUCCAUAACAAGAGCAGACCAUAGCAAGGCAUAUGUGAUGGUGACAUCGAUGUGGUUGUACGCGUGACUACUACUGUGGUAGAACAGACCGAUCGCCCACAGCAGUACAAGUGCGGCUACCGUCCGUAUACCAACAGCCGAGGUAAGGAUCUUCCAGCGGUUCAUGGCGACGUUAUUGGUCAUGUUCAAAGGCGAGAUGUCAUGCAGCUUCAGUGAUUCCUUGGUGUAGAGUCGAUCGAAGGUUGCAGAGAGACCGGACUGCACCAAGCGAUGGGCUUCGUCUUGGUUACGCACCAGGUGUCUUAGGCAGCUAAGCCGGCCGGGGUACGGGGGUGCAACGUCUACGCACAAGUUGUAGGGCUUCCAAACUUCGUCUACUUUACAAGCGCCGUCACCGCCAUCAGAUGGCUGUAGGCUGCCAUGGUCGGCCUGGCGGACAUAUAGCAUUGCGGCUCGUAGGUACUCGUGAAGCGAAUCGAUCUCACCCUUUUCUGCUGGACCUGAAGAGUCGUCAACGAGGCUGUUGAUGCUCACUCUCUUCAGGUCCCAUGGCUUGCAUACGCAUUUGGUAAUUCCACACAAGAACAA
RNAcentral lists this long non-coding RNA (779 nucleotides) under Setaria italica (foxtail millet). RNAcentral's name for it is "long non-coding RNA (SITA_LNC006065)". The record is from RNAcentral. Lineage: Eukaryota; Viridiplantae; Streptophyta; Magnoliopsida; Poales; Poaceae.